RNAcentral lists this ribosomal RNA (2416 nucleotides) under Hemiarthrus abdominalis. Its description in RNAcentral is "18S ribosomal RNA". It matches the Rfam family "Eukaryotic small subunit ribosomal RNA". The record is from RNAcentral. Lineage: Eukaryota; Metazoa; Arthropoda; Malacostraca; Isopoda; Bopyridae.
UACCUGGUUGAUCCUGCCAGUAGUCAUAUGCUUGUCUCAAAGAUUAAGCCAUGCAUGUCUGAGUACAUACCUGAACUAAGUGAAACCGCGAAUGGCUCAUUAAAUCAGUCGUAAUCUAUUGGAUGUUGACAAUGCUCACUUGGAUAACUGUGGCAAUUCUAGAGCUAAUACAUGCAACUAAGUCCUGACGCUUCCUGCGUUCACUCUCGUUAAUUCGGGUUGUUCGUCACAGCGGAAGGACGCAGUUAUUAGAAUCAAGAUAAAAACAAACCUGUUUUGUGAAUCUCGAACGCGGCUGCGGUCCGUCGAGCACAAAAAACAAACUUCUAGUCCCGUAACGUGGAACCUUCGUGUUUCGAACGACUUGGCUACGAAAAUAUUUGUCUUGGUGACUCUGAAUAACCUCGCCGAGCGCUAAGGUCACAGUACCGGCGCCGUAUCCAACGAGCGUCUGCCCUAUCAGCUUGAUUGUAAGUUAUACGCUUACAAAGGCUGUAACGGGUAACGGGGAAUCAGGGUCGAUUUCCGGAGAGGGAGCCUGAGAAACGGCUACCACAUCUAAGGAAGGCAGCAGGCGCGCAAAUUACCCAAUCCCGGCACGGGGAGGUAGUGACGAAAAAUAACGAUGCGAGACUCUUCCGAGGCCUCGCAAUCGGGAAUGAGUUUAUAAUAAAUCCUUAAGACAAGGAUCUAUUGGAGGGCAAGUCUGGUGCCAGCAGCCGCGGUAAUUCCAGCUCCAAUAGCGUAUAUUAAAGUUGCUGCGGUUAAAAAGCUCGUAGUUGGAGCUAGCUUUUCGGACCGUUCGGCCCGUGGCGUGUUUCGUCUUUUCGCCUGUUCAAAUAACGCGGAACGACCUCUUCUCACCAACCGGUCCUCUCUUGUCAUUCGUGGCGGAGUGCGUAUCGGCGUGGGGUGGCGGUUCGUGUGAGCAGUGUGGGAGGCGUCCGCUCGGAUCAUAGCCGAUAAAUAUCGGUUUCGGAAGGCCUAUGAAGGGCGCUUAAUACUAAGCGUCUGGAUUGACAGAUAAAAGCCGUCGGCGCUCGCGGUUUGCUCUUAACUGGGUGAGCCGUGCGCGGUCGACACGUUCACUUUGAGAAAAUUUAUGUGCUCAAAGCGGGUACAAACCCAAAACGGGAAUGCAGCGGCCCUUCGUGGACGUGAAUUUCUCUUAAAAGCCCGAAAGAUGACGCAUGGAAUGAAGGAAUAGGACCUCGGUUCUGUCCUUAUUUCCAUUCCAAUUGAAAUAUGCUAUUUUUAUUACUUAGGGUUAUUUUCUAUGGAAGCCGAGGUAAUGAUUAAAGGAAACGGACGGGGGCUUAGGUACUGCGGCGCGAGAGGUGAAAUUCUUGGACCGUCGCAUGACCACCUACUGCGAAAGCAUUUGCCAAGAAUGUUUUCAUUAAUCAAGAACGAAAGUCAGAGGUUCGAAGGCGAUCAGAUACCGCCCUAGUUCUGACCGUAAACUAUGCUAACUGGCGAUCCGCCCGCGUCAUCCCCACGACCGGGCGGGCAGCCCCCGGGAAACCUCAAGUUUUUGAGCUCCGGGGGGAGUAUGGUUGCAAAGUUGAAACUUAAAGGAAUUGACGGAAGGGCACCACCAGGAGUGGAGCCUGCGGCUUAAUUUGACUCAACACGGGGAACCUUACCAGGCCCAGACGCCGGAAGGAUUGACAGAUUAAAAGCUCUUUCUCGAUUCGGUGGGUGGUGGUGCAUGGCCGUUCCUAGUUGGUGGAGCGAUUUGUCUGGUUGAUUCCGAUAACGAACGAGACUCUAACCUAUUAAAUAGUCCGACGAUAAUCUCCCUCGUCGCGGGCUUUCUCUAAAAAAAACCGGGACUCGACCGAGUACCUCUUUGGAGGAGUGGGUCGGAUGGAAUUUCUCAGGGCGGCGGGCUUGCUUGUUGUCUUGUUUUUGACCCCACCAUUCCUUCUUAGUGGCCGGUUCCCCGGUCAAAUAAAAGAGAGUUCCGGCGUGUGGAGCGUCGAGCGGGAAUCUUCUUAGAGGAAUCGGCGGUUUUUUCCAGCCGUAAGAGAGAGAGCGAUAACAGGUCUGUGAUGCCCUUAGAUGUUCUGGGCAGCACGCGCGCUACAAUGAAGGUAGCAGCGCGUAUUCCUCUCCGAAAGGAGCGGGUAACCGUGUGAAACCCCUUCUCGAUUGGGAUUGGGGAUUGAAAUUAUUUCCCAUAAACGAGGAAUUCCUAGUAAGCGCGGGUCAGCAGCUGGCGUUGAUUACGUCCCUGCCCUUUUGUACACACCGCCCGUCGCUACUACCGAUUGGAUGAUUCAGUGAGGGUAUCGGACUGGCGCCUCGAGAGCUCGUCUCUCUACGGUCGACGGAAAGAUAUCCGAACUUGGUCAUUUAGAGGAAGUAAAAGUCGUAACAAGGUUUCCGUAGUGAACCUGCGGAAGGAUCAUUA